GGUGGACAUGCAGCUGUUUCCUGUCUUUUGCUGCAGUGAAUUCUCUCAGUCUCAUUUCUCAAAUUGAAAUCUGAUCCAUUUGAAGUUUAUCUGGGAAUAAAGUGAGAGGAAGUUUAGAAUCAGAUUGUCCAGUUCUGUGAAGAAAAUAUUUCUGCAACUUGAGUGGGGUCACCCUAGACUUACAGAUUACUGAGGGAAAGUGUCCGUCUUUAUGGUAUUGCAAGCACCCUACACCUUGUCAUCCAUUCAAGCAUUUUGGGGGGCUCGUCAUUGUCAUGCAUUCUUAGAGAUUUAAUGACGUCUUAAGUUUAUUUUGAGGUAUGGUCUUUGUAUUGAUUUUGUUACCUCUUGUUGUCUUGCUGUGUCUUGAACUCAUUUCUCUGCUUCAUGUCCUUAUUUUAGAGAGUUUAAAAAAUUCAUGGCGCUAUGCCUGGUCAUAAACAUCAUGUGCUUAGUAGAAGCAUGUCUAGCAGAUACUGGUGUUUUCUGUCCUGUCCU
Kogia breviceps (pygmy sperm whale) is the source of this 498-nucleotide non-coding RNA. Lineage: Eukaryota; Metazoa; Chordata; Mammalia; Artiodactyla; Physeteridae. The record is from RefSeq and is a predicted model, not a curated record.